UCAUGGAAGAAAUUGGACAGUCUCUUGAGUGAAUGACUGAAAUGGUCCGUCUCAGGUGUGAGAAGUUUAAGUAGCAGAAAGAAGAAAGGUAUUCCAUUACAGCCCAGAAUAUUGCAGAGAUUUUUCACAUUUACUGAACCAUUACUGUAGACUGAGAGACACAGUAUUAAAUAAUGUCAUACUGGAACCCACUCAAGCCUUUUAUAAAAUUGCAGAAUCUGUUGAUCUGUGCCGGGAGGAGUAGACAAAGCUAUGCCUGUAAACAAGUGAUAUAAAAAUAGGGAUAAUAGCAGAUUUUGUGAUGCGCUUUUAGCUCAAAUUAACGUUUCAUUGAAGCUCAAGUUUAUUUAGCCUAAUUAAUGUUUUCUCCGUCAUUUCUGGUUGCUGUCUGUUUCUCUUUUCGUACUGCAAUUUCAGCGUUUUGAAUCUCUCUCAGAACAGAGUUAGUUGAAUUUAACCAGUCCAGCCCUCAACAUAUCAUUGAUGAAAGGGUGCACAAUCCUUUCAAAACCAAUUAAAGAGGCCUUAGCCCGCAGGGGUGGUGAGCGAAGGGCUGACAGGAGACCACAGAGGAACUCAGAGAGUCAGUGCCUUUGUGACAAUGCGGCUUGUGGCAGGGGUCCAAGCACUGAACCUCGUGGCAUCCCCGUGGUGAGAGUAACAGACUGAAAAAUGGGCUUCCAUAAUGUCGGGCUGGAGAAUUUGGAGAGUAGUGUGAAGAAUAUAAGAUGAACGAAGGCCUUGCGGGUGUGGAACAACAUGAGGAGCUAUGGGAUAAAUCUAUAACCUGGCCUCCACCAACAAAGAACAGCAGCCAAUUACUGAUAAAUGUGUUUUCAGUAUAACGCAGUAAACAAGUCUGAAGUGAGCAUCUAAUUGUGCGGGUGGACAGGACCUUCACUGUGCCAUUUAAUUUAAUGAAAAAUAACCAUUACGACCACCAAAUGUUUAGGACAUGUCAUUUUGCUGUAGGUUGAUAACACUCCAGGUUGUUUUUAAAUGUGCUUUACAUGAAACUUACCUGAUUAUUAAUUAAAGAUAAUUGUGAGUGAGUGA
Long non-coding RNA from Megalobrama amblycephala (Wuchang bream), 1056 nucleotides. RefSeq lists it as uncharacterized. The transcript is spliced from 5 exons. NCBI's taxonomy places the organism in Eukaryota, Metazoa, Chordata, Actinopteri, Cypriniformes, Xenocyprididae. The record is from RefSeq and is a predicted model, not a curated record.